RNAcentral lists this ribosomal RNA (253 nucleotides) under uncultured bacterium. Its description in RNAcentral is "partial 16S ribosomal RNA". It matches the Rfam family "Bacterial small subunit ribosomal RNA", at positions 524 to 776 of the family's 1533-position model. The record is from RNAcentral.
UACAGAGGUGGCAAGCGUUGUUCGGAAUUACUGGGCGUAAAGGGCGCGUAGGCGGCUUUUUAAGUCAGACGUGAAAUCCCCCGGCUUAACCUGGGAACUGCGCCUGAUACUGGGAAGCUUGAGUUCGGGAGAGGGAUGUAGAAUUCCAGGUGUAGCGGUGAAAUGCGUAGAUAUCUGGAGGAAUACCGGUGGCGAAGGCGGCAUCCUGGACCGAAACUGACGCUGAGGCGCGAAAGCUAGGGGAGCAAACGGG